AUGAUCCUGGGGACACCAUUUACAUGGUUCUGCUUUGGAUGGGCCCUGGGAUUGUACAACAGCACUGUGCGAACUACUCAUCCCUAUUCUCCAUCCUAUUUAUGCUUGUCCAGAUUUCAGAAUUUCCGGAGACACUGGAUCAGACACACCAGAGCAGUGGCAGCAAACUUACGGCCCGUGUGUUAUUGUGUUUUUAAGACAAAAGGCGUGGUGCUGCACAUCUGUAACCCCAGGUACAACAAAGGCUGAGGUAAAAGAAUUGUGAGUUCAAGUCCAACCUGAGCAACUUAGGAGAACUUGUCUCAAAAUAAAGGGAGAAAAAGAAAACUUUUUUUAAAAGAGCUUAUCAUGAAGAACAGUUGGUGUUAGCAC
Molecule: long non-coding RNA, 372 nt
Filed under: Fukomys damarensis (Damara mole-rat)
Lineage: Eukaryota; Metazoa; Chordata; Mammalia; Rodentia; Bathyergidae
Description: lncRNA (ENSFDAG00000032438.1)
Source: RNAcentral